UGUCCCUAGGUCUGGCAGGUCUUAAUGUGAGCUGGGAGGCUCAUGGUCAUCCUGAAAGCUGCCACCCUGAGAGCCAGAGGGUGGAUUGGCCAUCCUGUGAACCUGAAGGUCAUCAGAUCAUCUGUCUUUCCUCAGAGGAUGCAGCAACAGUCCUUGCAAAAUCCACCAGAUCUCAACAGCUGCUUCAAGAACACUUUUAAUAUACUUAAAGGGACACAGUAACAGCGAUGGAGAAUAACUUGUGGAGUUCGGCUUUGUACCUCAGGUGUGACAUCUAGGAAGAAGAUAUUAAGUUUAAGGAAGAGAAAAAUUACCAGCUGACAAUUAAAAGAAAGCAAUCAUAAAUUUAACAUCAAAUAAAGAAUACCAACUCUCUGAAGAACCUCAAAGCAAGCAUGUGGCACUUGUUAAAAGGUGCUACCUUAAUCUAGGGGAAAUCAAAU
This is a non-coding RNA of Chiloscyllium plagiosum (whitespotted bambooshark), 443 nucleotides long. The record is from RefSeq and is a predicted model, not a curated record. Lineage: Eukaryota; Metazoa; Chordata; Chondrichthyes; Orectolobiformes; Hemiscylliidae.